Molecule: transfer RNA, 72 nt
Filed under: Bos taurus (domestic cattle)
Lineage: Eukaryota; Metazoa; Chordata; Mammalia; Artiodactyla; Bovidae
Also listed under: 2 other names
Rfam family: tRNA
About the family: Transfer RNA (tRNA) molecules are approximately 80 nucleotides in length.
Source: Rfam by way of RNAcentral
UCCCUGAUGGCCCAGUGGUUAAGACUCUGUGCUUCCAAUGCAGGAGCACAGGUUUGAUCCCUGGUCAGGGAG